Molecule: ribosomal RNA, 108 nt
Filed under: Echinops telfairi (small Madagascar hedgehog)
Lineage: Eukaryota; Metazoa; Chordata; Mammalia; Afrosoricida; Tenrecidae
Source: RNAcentral
AAAUGUGCCCAAGGCUAUACCACCCUGAUCUCGUUUGAUCUCGGAAGCUAAGGAGGGUCUCGCCUGGUCAGUACUUAGAUGGGAGAAAUGUAAGUCAAAUUACAUUUU